UGGGGAAUAUUGCACAAUGGGCGCAAGCCUGAUGCAGCCAUGCCGCGUGUGUGAAGAAGGCCUUCGGGUUGUAAAGCACUUUCAGCGGGGAGGAAGGCGUUAAGGUUAAUAACCUUGGCGAUUGACGUUACCCGCAGAAGAAGCACCGGCUAACUCCGUGCCAGCAGCCGCGGUAAUACGGAGGGUGCAAGCGUUAAUCGGAGUUACUGGGCGUAAAGCGCACGCAGGCGGUUUGUUAAGUCAGAUGUGAAAUCCCCGGGCUCAACCUGGGAACUGCAUCUGAUACUGGCAAGCUUGAGUCUCGUAGAGGGGGGUAGAAUUCCAGGUGUAGCGGUGAAAUGCGUAGAGAUCUGGAGGAAUACCGGUGGCGAAGGCGGCCCCCUGGACGAAGACUGACGCUCAGGUGCGAAAGCGUGGGGAGCAAACAGG
RNAcentral lists this ribosomal RNA (429 nucleotides) under Chloroflexota bacterium. RNAcentral describes it as "Chloroflexi bacterium partial 16S ribosomal RNA". It matches the Rfam family "Bacterial small subunit ribosomal RNA", at positions 355 to 776 of the family's 1533-position model. Lineage: Bacteria; Bacillati; Chloroflexota. The record is from RNAcentral.